UAACUGGAGAGUUUGAUUCUGGCUCAGAAUGAACGCUGGCGGCGUGCUUAACACAUGCAAGUCGAACGAGAAAGACCCUGCUUGCAGGGACGAGUAGAGUGGCGCACGGGUGAGUAACACGUGGAUAAUCUACCUUCAAAUCGGGAAUAACUGUUCGAAAGGGCAGCUAAUACCGGAUAAAGUUUGUAAGG
RNAcentral lists this non-coding RNA (191 nucleotides) under Desulfamplus magnetovallimortis. RNAcentral describes it as "Bacterial small subunit ribosomal RNA". It matches the Rfam family "Bacterial small subunit ribosomal RNA", at positions 1 to 187 of the family's 1533-position model. The record is from Rfam by way of RNAcentral. Lineage: Bacteria; Pseudomonadati; Thermodesulfobacteriota; Desulfobacteria; Desulfobacterales; Desulfobacteraceae.